Molecule: RNA transcript, 1496 nt
Organism: Mercurialis annua (annual mercury)
Lineage: Eukaryota; Viridiplantae; Streptophyta; Magnoliopsida; Malpighiales; Euphorbiaceae
Gene name: U11/U12 small nuclear ribonucleoprotein 35 kDa protein
Exons: 9
Source: RefSeq, a predicted model, not a curated record
UAUUAUACAUAUUUUAAAUAGGCAUACUGCCGGUGAGUGGUUUUUCCCCAGAAAAGAAGAAGAAGGAUGGAAGCAAUUUGAAGCGACGGUAGGCCGAAGCAUGAAGUGAGUGUGAAGGAGAGGAAGAGGAAAAUGAGGGAAAGCAGCGGUAUGAACUCAGUGUUCUAUGCAAAAUCAUAUCAUCCAAUUCAAGCCGGAAGCAUCGACGGCACUGAUAUCCUCCCCCACGACAGCGCUAUUUACCGUGCUUUCCUCUGUUCUUCUGCCGCCCUCUAUGACCCAUUUGGCGACCCCAAAGUUAUCGGCGACCCUUACUGCACUGUUUUCGUGGGUCGCCUUUCUCAUUCCACCACUCAACAAACUCUUCACAAUGCUAUGAGCAAAUAUGGCAAAGUUAAGAACUUGCGGUUGGUCAGAGACAUUGUAACUGGUGCGUCGCGAGGCUAUGCCUUUGUUGAAUACGAGACUGAAAGAGAGAUGCGCCGUGCUUACAUGGAUGGUCAUCAUUCCAUCAUUGAUGACUCGGAAGUACUAGUUGAUUAUAACAGGCAGCAGUUGAUGCGUGGCUGGAUCCCAAGAAGGUUAGGAGGAGGCCUUGGUGGAAGGAAAGAGUCUGGACAGCUGCGUUUUGGUGGACGGGAAAGACCAUUUCGAGCUCCUCUGCAAUCAAUUCCUUUUGAUGAAUUGAAGAGGCUUGGCAUUUCUCCUCCACCAGAAGGAAGAUACAUGUCACGUUUUCAGGUCCCAUCGCCACCUAGAAGAAAUCGAAGCUCAAUAGAAGAAGAAAGUUCUCACAGGAGAAGAUCUAGGUCCACCCACAAGGAAGAGUACAGACAUAGAAGUAGCUCCGUGGAGAGGGAAGAACACCACAGCGAAAGAAGCACUAGGAGCAGGGAACGCAGACACAGAAGCAGAUCAGUGGAGAGGGAAGAAAACUACAGCAGGAGCAAAGAAGACUACAAAGAGAAGGCAGAAUACCACAAAGGGAGCUCUGUUGAUAUAUCGGAGCCUCUCCAUGGAAACUUCCCUGAAAGAGAGGAUUACCAUUAUUCAAGGAGCUCCUUGGACAGAGAAAUGCACAACCAGAAAAGAAACCUUAAAGGCAGUGAAGAAAAGUUCUCAGAUGUUGAGGGUUUUUAUCAUACAAGUUCUAGGGAUAGAAAAGAAAGCUCAGGGAAGCGCCACAAGCACAGUAGUAAAUCUGAUAGACAUAAAAGCAGGCGGCGGGAUCACUCUUCUGAAAGAUGAUUAUAGACAAGUUAGUUGCAGUGAAACCAUAGAUGGCAAGGGAGUCUUUUUGUUUAGCUGUAGUAAGGUGAGAAGUCUUAUGUGAGAUUCCGGUACAUAAAUGACCUUUUUUAUUUGUAAGUAGCUUCACUAAAGUUGAAAAUACAGUUGAGGGAGGGUGCAACUGUUGCUUAAAUAAAUUUGUUCUGCAGUUGCUACUAAAUUUUUUAAUGAUUAAUCAGCUAAACCCUAGACUUUAUACAGAGCAA